AGUGAACGCUGGCGGUAGGCUUAACACAUGCAAGUCGAACGGCAGCACAGUAAGUGCUUGCUCUUAUGGGUGGCGAGUGGCGGACGGGUGAGGUAUGUAUCGGAAUCUACUUUUUCGUGGGGGAUAACGUAGGGAAACUUACGCUAAUACCGCAUACGACCUACGGGUGAAAGCAGGGGAUUUUUGGACCUUGCGCGAUUGAAUGAGCCGAUGUCGGAUUAGCUAGUUGGCGGGGUAAAGGCCCACCAAGGCGACGAUCCGUAGCUGGUCUGAGAGGAUGAUCAGCCACACUGGAACGGAGACACGGUCCAGACUCCUACGGGAGGCAGCAGUGGGGAAUAUUGGGCAAUGGGCGCAAGCCUGAUCCAGCCAUACCGCGUGGGUGAAGAAGGCCUUCGGGUUGUAAAGCCCUUUUGUGGGGAAAGAAAAGCAGCAGGUUAAUACCCAGCUGUUCUGACGGUACCCAAAGAAUAAGCACCGGCUAACUUCGUG
This 492-nucleotide ribosomal RNA is filed under the name uncultured bacterium. RNAcentral's name for it is "partial 16S ribosomal RNA". It matches the Rfam family "Bacterial small subunit ribosomal RNA", at positions 29 to 507 of the family's 1533-position model. The record is from RNAcentral.